Long non-coding RNA from Lates calcarifer (barramundi perch), 716 nucleotides. RefSeq lists it as uncharacterized. The transcript has 5 exons. Lineage: Eukaryota; Metazoa; Chordata; Actinopteri; Centropomidae. The record is from RefSeq and is a predicted model, not a curated record.
UGACCGUGAACGUGAGGAGAGGAGAGCAGGCGAGAGAGGAUCGGCGGCGAAACAAAAUGUAAAAACGAGUGAAAAUACGGUGUAAGACCAACGUUUGAGUCGUCGCUUCGUCGCUUUGGUUCGUUAACGCUCAAUUACUGAAGAAGUCUGGACGUUAAAAGAAGCUUUGGAGCUGUUUUUGUCGAACACACCGGCGGCUCAAAGCUGUGGAUGCAGACAGAGGAUGAGAAGCUGAUGGGUCUGCAGCACGAGGACUCCUUCUGAUUGGAAGGCUUUCUCUGACUGAAUCCCAGCUGACCACACAGCCUCACCUGAUAGGACCUCACCUGAUGGGACUGUCAGCUGUGACCAGUUUGUAAGAUAAAGUUCCCACGCUGCAGAGACAGAUGAGUUAAUCUGAGCCUGUGAGCUGGAGACGAUGGAUUCUGCCUCAUCAAGCAGGGAGAUGAUGUUACACCAAACAGGAGCCAUGUUUACUUCCUCUCCUCCAGACUGAAACUUCACCCAUCAAACGACAGAGAGAAGAGACAUGAAGAUUUCCAGGUCCAGACCUUCAGCUGCCUCCAUCUUCUUCUCCUCCACCUGCAGAGACACAUCAUGUUAAUCACUCAUCAAUAAAUCUCCUCCUCCUCUAAACUGUCCUCAGUCGUUUUUGAUGGUUAAUUACAGUGUAGGAGUUCUGCUGCUACAGUCUCACUCAAACCAAUUCAUCAGAU